Long non-coding RNA from Pelmatolapia mariae (spotted tilapia), 290 nucleotides. RefSeq lists it as uncharacterized. NCBI's taxonomy places the organism in Eukaryota, Metazoa, Chordata, Actinopteri, Cichliformes, Cichlidae. The record is from RefSeq and is a predicted model, not a curated record. The transcript is spliced from 3 exons.
CUUCUAACGGUCCAGACCUGGUCCAGACAGACUCCUGCUCAGCAAGGGAGCCCAGCAGCACCCUGCACCGAACCAACAACCUUCUCUUUCAAUGGUGGUGAUCCAAAUCAGUGUGGAGCAGAAUGCACCAUAGAGAUGUACAACUCUCCUGUUGAACACCUCAAGACUGAAGACUGCAAGGAAAGAAGGCUAAUCUACACCGAGCAUCUGAAGAACAACAUGCAAGUCCUCCAGCACAUUGAAUCCAAAACCUGUUCCAGUUCCUCAGACACCGUCAGAGACUGUUUUGA